This 30-nucleotide non-coding RNA is filed under the name Cricetulus griseus (Chinese hamster). Lineage: Eukaryota; Metazoa; Chordata; Mammalia; Rodentia; Cricetidae. The record is from RNAcentral.
AUAUUGUUACAUACUACUCAGGAAAAAAAG